CAGGCUUAACACAUGCAAGUCGAGGGGCAUCAGGAAGAAAGCUUGCUUUCUUUGCUGGCGACCGGCGCACGGGUGAGUAACACGUAUCCAACCUGCCCUUUACUCGGGGAUAGCCUUUCGAAAGAAAGAUUAAUACCCGAUGGCAUAAUGAUUCCGCAUGGUUUCAUUAUUAAAGGAUUCCGGUAAAGGAUGGGGAUGCGUUCCAUUAGGUUGUUGGUGAGGUAACGGCUCACCAAGCCUUCGAUGGAUAGGGGUUCUGAGAGGAAGGUCCCCCACAUUGGAACUGAGACACGGUCCAAACUCCUACGGGAGGCAGCAGUGAGGAAUAUUGGUCAAUGGGCGCUAGCCUGAACCAGCCAAGUAGCGUGAAGGAUGAAGGCUCUAUGGGUCGUAAACUUCUUUUAUAUAAGAAUAAAGUGCAGUAUGUAUACUGUUUUGUAUGUAUUAUAUGAAUAAGGAUCGGCUAACUCCGUGCCAGCAGCCGCGGUAAUACGGAGGAUCCGAGCGUUAUCCGGAUUUAUUGGGUUUAAAGGGAGCGUAGGUGGACUGGUAAGUCAGUUGUGAAAGUUUGCGGCUCAACCGUAAAAUUGCAGUUGAUACUGUCAGUCUUGAGUACAGUAGAGGUGGGCGGAAUUCGUGGUGUAGCGGUGAAAUGCUUAGAUAUCACGAAGAACUCCGAUUGCGAAGGCAGCUCACUGGACUGCAACUGACACUGAUGCUCGAAAGUGUGGGUAUCAAACAGGAUUAGAUACCCUGGUAGUCCACACAGUAAACGAUGAAUACUCGCUGUUUGCGAUAUACAGUAAGCGGCCAAGCGAAAGCAUUAAGUAUUCCACCUGGGGAGUACGCCGGCAACGGUGAAACUCAAAGGAAUUGACGGGGGCCCGCACAAGCGGAGGAACAUGUGGUUUAAUUCGAUGAUACGCGAGGAACCUUACCCGGGCUUAAAUUGCAGUGGAAUGAUGUGGAAACAUGUCAGUGAGCAAUCACCGCUGUGAAGGUGCUGCAUGGUUGUCGUCAGCUCGUGCCGUGAGGUGUCGGCUUAAGUGCCAUAACGAGCGCAACCCUUAUCUUUAGUUACUAACAGGUUAUGCUGAGGACUCUAGAGAGACUGCCGUCGUAAGAUGUGAGGAAGGUGGGGAUGACGUCAAAUCAGCACGGCCCUUACGUCCGGGGCUACACACGUGUUACAAUGGGGGGUACAGAAGGCAGCUAGCGGGUGACCGUAUGCUAAUCCCAAAAGCCUCUCUCAGUUCGGAUCGAAGUCUGCAACCCGACUUCGUGAAGCUGGAUUCGCUAGUAAUCGCGCAUCAGCCACGGCGCGGUGAAUACGUUCCCGGGCCUUGUACACACCGCCCGUCAAGCCAUGGGAGCCGGGGGUACCUGAAGUACGUAACCGCAAGGAUCGUCCUAGGGUAAAACUGGUGACUGGGGCUAAGUCGUA
Molecule: ribosomal RNA, 1444 nt
Filed under: uncultured organism
Description: 16S ribosomal RNA
Rfam family: Bacterial small subunit ribosomal RNA
Source: RNAcentral